Molecule: non-coding RNA, 2686 nt
Organism: Sus scrofa (pig)
Lineage: Eukaryota; Metazoa; Chordata; Mammalia; Artiodactyla; Suidae
Source: RefSeq, a predicted model, not a curated record
GCCUGACGGGAGCCGCCUUCAGACUCUCCCGAGUGGGGUCUGGGCCCGGAGCCUGACCUGCUCCCCUCCGUGGCUGCGCUACCGACGCGAGUGUGGGCGCCCUCGAGGACGUGGGUGGAAAGUUCCAGAAGAGUCCGGGCCAGGCUGCGCCGGAAAUGAAGGCCCUCCUGGCUUUGUUCCUGGUUGUGGGCCUGCCGCGGGCGGAGACCAAUGUCACUGUGUCUGGGCGACAGAAUGUGGCGAUGAGGUGCUACGUUUGCGAGACAGAGAACAAUUUUCUCUGCACCCAAGAGUCCAACUGCACCCGGGGCAGCCGAUUUUGCACCACUGUGGCCGUGAGAGUGUUUCCGCGGUUCUACCUGGUUUCCAAGCAGUGUGUGGCGGCCUGUGCCUUCGAGGGCGUGCAGCAGCGCGGGGCCAAGUCCUUCCUGCUCAUCAAGCCCACGCCUUUCCUGUACGUGGUGUGCUGCCAGGAGCGGCUGUGCAACACCCACAACCCGGUCAUCGAAGAAAACUCGGAGGAUAAGUACAAGGAGGUGGCAGGGGCCUGCGACGGGCUGGGCGGCCGCGUGGGGCUGGCGGCUCUCCUGACCCUGGCCUCCGUGCUCCUGGACCUCUGGCUGCCGUGAAGAAGUGGGCUCACCCCCGGCGCUGGGAACCUGUGCUAUUAAACGGGCUUUGCACAGCAAGCUCACGGGCAGUCUGGCCUCCGGGGACCUUGGGUGGGGGCGGCGGGGGGAGGGCCCGGCCCCGCUGGCUCCAGCAGGCGGUUGGAAGGAGGGCAAGGCCAAGCCCUGCCCAGAGGGGUUUUGUUUACACGCUGUUUCUCUCUGCAGUCAAGCCUUGUGACUCUGUUUAUUGCUGGCGGUCACUCUUGCCGCGUCCCCUCGGAGGGCCUGGGAAGUGAUGGGAGGGAGGGAGGGAGGGGCUGAGGCCCGGCCGCCUGUGGGGCGUGAGCAGGGGUGCCCGGAGCUCGGUGCUAUGGGCCUGGCGGGGGGCGGGGGGCGUCCAGGGGCAGACAGAGUGCCUUGGGUGUAAGACACUCAGAGCGAAAGACGCCUCAGCGAGGGGCAGCGGGUGUCAUCCUGGGCCCCGUGCUGUCCUCAGCUCCUGCCACCAGAUCCCAGCAAGCAGAAGGUCCGCAGGGCGGAGAACCAGCCCUAUAAAGACACCUGCCGCUGGCCGCUCCCCAGGCCCAGCUGAUGGAUGCCCCACGAUGAAGCCACUCCUGGUGUUUCUGCUUCUGGCUGCUCUGUGCACUGACCUGGCCUGUCCCAGCGGCAUCCUGGUCAUGAAGUCCUGCGCCCCGACGUGCCCCAACAGCACCGUGUCCUCCGACGGCCACACCCUCUCCGUCUCCUGCUGUCAGGGCAGCCAGUGUAACAGCAGCGCCGCUGCAGGCCUGCCGGGCAACCUCGGGGCCCUGUGGGCCAGCACCUCGGCCAGCCUGCUGUGGGCGCUGCUCCGGGCGGCCUGGUGAGCCCACCCGCCACAGGCUGGCCCUGGGUCUUGCCUGUUCCUUCUCAGCCUGGACCUGGGCUGCACGGGAGCCAUCUCCAGCUGGUGUGUCCCCACCCCCCCGCACACCUUCACCCUGGCGGGAGGAGCGCCGUCCCCCUGUCACUCCGCCCUGCCUCCCCCCGGGCCACCCCAGCAAUCCCCACCUCUGGGACCCCCUGAUACAGGAAGACCUGUUACCCUCUCCUGGGCUCUCAGGGUCCUCUGAUCACCCGUGAUGGGAAGGGGGCCUCAGUCACCCCAGGACCCUCCAACCCACUCAAGGGCCUUGCUCUGGGGGCCCCUCUCCCUCAGGACCCCCCUUCCAUGCUCCACGGCCCUUGGGCCCCUCCAGCUGCCUUCUGUGCCAGGGGCCGAGGGCUGGGCUUCCCUCCGGCCCACCAGCCACCCCUUCACCCACUGUCCGUGGGUCAGCUAGGGCGCUCAUUCAUCACAGACCCACGGGGCUUCCCUGGGGCUGACGGGGCCCGCCUCACAGGGCCGUCACUCUGGGGCUUGGUGUGCUGAAGUCUGGGGACCACCAGCCCCCCCACCAACCCCCGCGUGCCCACCGUGGGGGAGAGCCGUGCGGACUGGGGGCUGGCCUACCUCCCACCCCCAGGAUAUAGAGGCAGAGGGAAUAAAGCCAGAGCUGCUCUGAGCACGUUCUCUUGCGACGUCGAGGCUGGGCAGGAAGGUUCUCGUCCCGGGAGGCGGGUGCAGGGCACCGUACGAGCUGAGGCGGAUCCUUGAGCACAUGCUCGGGCGACGCAGAAGCACUUUUUCCUAAGAAGCCAGCUCUGCCCCAAACCCCCUUGGCCAGGAGGACGGAGACGCUCUUCCAACGAAUCCCAAGUAGGGGGUGGACAUGGCCCCUACGAAGGACAGCUUCUGGGCCUGUGUCCCCCACAUAGGGGGUCAGUUCCACAGGCCCCUCCUGUCCCAUACCUCCAGUCGGGGCACACCUGCCCCAGGGCUCUGAGUCUCCUCCCAGGGCCCAAGACCCCCCCUCUCCAGAAGUUUGAGACCCCAAACCUCUGUCCAGGGCCUUGCCUCAGGAACCCCUACCCGGCCUGAAGGGAGGAAGGCCUUCCUGUCCCCAGCAGCCACUUCUGAGGUCCCCUGUGCCUGUGAUGGAGCUGAGGCGGCCACUCAGUUGGGGACCACGAUGCCCCCAGGAAGUGCGGGG